UACGGGGGGAGCAAGCGUUGUUCGGAUUUACUGGGCGUAAAGGGCGCGUAGGCGGCCAGCACAAGUCAGUUGUGAAAUCUCCGGGCUUAACUCGGAAAGGUCAACUGAUACUGUGCGGCUAGAGUGCGGAAGGGGCAACUGGAAUUCUUGGUGUAGCGGUGAAAUGCGUAGAUAUCAAGAGGAACACCUGCGGCGAAGGCGGGUUGCUGGGCCGACACUGACGCUGAUGCGCGAAAGCUAGGGGAGCGAACGGG
This 254-nucleotide ribosomal RNA is filed under the name uncultured bacterium. RNAcentral describes it as "partial 16S ribosomal RNA". It matches the Rfam family "Bacterial small subunit ribosomal RNA", at positions 524 to 776 of the family's 1533-position model. The record is from RNAcentral.